AUGCGGGUGCUUAGACCAGAUGAUAAAGGGUGGUACAUAUGCGAACACAAAGCAGAGCACAACCAUGCUGUAUCAGUUAACUGUAUGGAGAAGCUGCACUGGAAAUCGCACAUGCACAUAGAUAGAUACACUAGAGACUUGGUGAAACAGCUAAGAGAAAACAAUAUAAGCCUGAGCAAGGUUUAUAGUGUGGUUGGCAGUUUUUUUGGAUCUAUGAAGGAGGUGCCAUUCACAAAGAGAUCUCUCAAAACUCUUUGUGGAUAA
This 264-nucleotide ribosomal RNA is filed under the name Triticum aestivum (bread wheat). RNAcentral's name for it is "partial small subunit ribosomal RNA". Lineage: Eukaryota; Viridiplantae; Streptophyta; Magnoliopsida; Poales; Poaceae. The record is from RNAcentral.